RNAcentral lists this ribosomal RNA (904 nucleotides) under Mesobacillus subterraneus. RNAcentral's name for it is "bacterial SSU rRNA". It matches the Rfam family "Bacterial small subunit ribosomal RNA", at positions 530 to 1435 of the family's 1533-position model. The record is from RNAcentral. Lineage: Bacteria; Bacillati; Bacillota; Bacilli; Caryophanales; Bacillaceae.
GUGGGAUAACGAUAUCGGAUAUUGGGCGUAAGCGCGCGCAGGCGGUCCUUUAAGUCUGAUGUGAAAGCCCACGGCUCAACCGGGGAGGGUCAUUGGAAACUGGGGGACUUGAGUGCAGAAGAGGAGAGUGGAAUUCCACGUGUAGCGGUGAAAUGCGUAGAGAUGUGGAGGAACACCAGUGGCGAAGGCGACUCUCUGGUCUGUAACUGACGCUGAGGCGCGAAAGCGUGGGGAGCGAACAGGAUUAGAUACCCUGGUAGUCCACGCCGUAAACGAUGACUGCUAAGUGUUAGAGGGUUUCCGCCCUUUAUUGCUGAACCAAACCCAUUAAUCACUCCCCCGGGGGAUUACGGCCGCAAGGCUGAAACUCAAAGGAAUUGACGGGGGCCCGCACAACCGGGGAACCAGGUGGUUUAAUUCAAACCACCCCGAAAAACCUUACCAGGUCUUGACUUCCUCUGACACCUCUGAAAACAGAGCUUUCCCCUUCGGGGGACAAAGUGACAGGUGGUGCAUGGUUGUCGUCAGCUCGUGUCGUGAGAUGUUGGGUUAAGUCCCGCAACGAGCGCAACCCUUGUCCUUAGUUGCCAGCAUUCAGUUGGGCACUCUAAGAGAGACUGCCGGUGACAAACCGGAGGAAGGUGGGGGAUGACGUCAAAUCAUCAUGCCCCUUAUGACCUGGGCUACACACGUGCUACAAUGGAUAGAACAAAGGGCAGCAAAACCGCGAGGUCAAGCAAAUCCCAUAAAUCUAUUCUCAGUUCGGAUUGCAGGCUGCAACUCGCCUGCAUGAAGCCGGAUCGCUAGUAAUCGCGGAUCAACAUGCCGCGGUGAAUACGUUCCCGGGCCUUGUACACACCGCCCGUCACACCAGGAGAGUUUGUAACACCCGAAGUCGGUGGGG